RNAcentral lists this long non-coding RNA (4749 nucleotides) under Homo sapiens (human). RNAcentral describes it as "HSALNT0264253". Lineage: Eukaryota; Metazoa; Chordata; Mammalia; Primates; Hominidae. The record is from RNAcentral.
GCUAAAGCAGCGGGCCGGGCGGAAGGUCGGGGAGCCAGAGCCCAGGGAAGAGCAGAAGGCGCGGGGGGGCGGGGGGGGCACCCAGGAGGGAGGACGGGGCAGCGGUGAGGGUGUAGACGGGAGGGAAUCUGUCCGGUGCCGCAGUGAGUUGGGUGGCGGUGAUUUGUUCGCGGGCGCAGGCUGGGAGGCGGGGUUCCUGACUCACUGCGGCACUGGCAGGGCUGGUGACAGCACCACCCCCGCGCCGCCUGCAAUCUGCCACCGCUGCCACCGAGCCGAGGGGCGCCAGCAAGGCAUCCCCUGGGUCAAGGGGCCUCCCGUGGGCUUUCCAAACAGCCUGUGCUCAUUUCCGCGGGAGCCCUCGGGGCGCUGUGCUGUGGCUGCAUUGUCACUGUUUGUUUAUUUCUACAUCUGCUCUGUUAGAAGAUAGGCUCGCUUAGGACAGAGCCUUCUAAUCCACCCCCUGAUGAAUUCGGGCCCUCGCCUUUGGCACAAUGCCUGGCGUCAUCACAACGCGGGUGAUCAGUAAACGGCAGCGAAGGAAGCGGGGUCAGGACUGGAGAGGAGAGGGGGAGGAAGACAGACGACCGGAGAGGAACAAAAAUGGAAGAACAAGUAAGAAUGGACAGAGGAAUACCAUGUGCUGACUGACGAACGCCUGGGUUUCUGAACCAAUUGCCAUCAAGGGGAUUGGGAUUACCAUAAUUUUUGCUGAGACUAAGCCCCACCCCAGUAACCAAAGGCUUAUGGGUGGAAUGCAAGCUAUUGGAAGUAUUUGAAGAUGUGACCAAGGAAGCUAUGAGAAUUGGAAAUGAGGCAGUUGUUUAGAAACGGGCUGAUGUGCUUGUGGUAAGGUGGAAGGAGGAAGGCAGAUGAGGAAAGGAAUGUGCAACUGAAGCAAUUAGCUGUUACUAUGUAACGAACCAUCCCAAAACGUAGUGACAUAAAACAACAACCAUUUGUUAUUUCUCAUGCGCUUACAUUUCUACUAGGAAGUUCUGCAAAUCUGGAUUGGUCUUGGCUGAUCUUGGCAGGGCUUGUUCUGGCAUCCACUCUCAGCUGCUGAAUUAGCUCUCAGUUCCUGGUUCAGGGUGGCCUUGGCUUGGAUGACUUGGCUCUGCUCCAUGUAUCUUUCACAUCCUUCCAGCAGGCCAGCUCAAGCCUGUUCUCUAGAUUGUGGCAAGGAUCCAAGGGAAAGAGAGAAAGCCAAAAUGUUCAUGCCCUUUUUUGAGCCACUUUUUUCAAUGAGUUGGCUACUGUCUCCCUAGCUAAACACAUCUCAGCCAAGCCCAGAACCAGUAUGGAAGGUCACUAACCAAAGCUGUGGGUAAAUGGAGGCAUGGAAAUCUGUGACCUUUAAUGCAAUCAUCUACAAUAACAAGCCAAUGACCAUGAAGCUGGACAGAGAAAUAGAUUCCUGGGAGGAAGAAUAGCAAAAUGUCUGGAGUAAGAGGAAGUAGGGUAUUUCAGGGAACUCAGCAAACAGUGUGAUGACAAAAUGAAAGCACAGUCAUGCAAUCAGCACCUGGGUAAAUAUUUAGGUUGGAGUCUGUGUUGACCCAGUCUGCAGGUAACCCUCAGCCUGGCCCAGCAUUUCACUGCCCUCCUACUACUUACCCAGAAACAACUCUCCUGUAUUGAUUAAGCAGGAAAGAGGAAACUCUCCUGGAAGACACAAGGGCAGAUCCAAGCAGGAGCUAAGGUUUUCCAGAAUGUGGUCUUAGGUCUGUGAAUGGCUUUUGGACAGAGGCACAGCUGAACAUUCCCAUGGUUUCUGUGACUUUAGAAUCACUACCACCUCUUGACUAUGCACCUCUUGACUAAUUUCUAUUUCUCAAAUUAUAGAAUAAAAAAUGCUGAUUCUAAGGAUAAAAACACAACAAAUAAUCCAAAAGUAUAUAAGAUGAAAAAUAAUAGUGUGAGUUCUAUUCCAUUCUCCAGAGAGUAACAACUGCUCUCAAUUUGGGCACUUCCUUUCUGUCUUCUUCCUGCACAUGUACUUUUUGCAUAUGUCCUUUGCACGUUCUUAACCAUACUUGGGUAAUGAUGCCAACAUCACAAGCAUAACUUUCUGACAGCCCAGAAAGCCAACCUUGUCUUCUUCCUUGUUCAACCCUUGUGCCAUUUUGCCCUAACCAGAAAAAUACUCCACUUGGUAAUGAUUCUCUCUCUGUGUCUGUGAAAAAUAACAUUGGAAAGUCUAAUGUGGAAAUGUUGAACCAGGCUGGGCAUGAUGGUUCAUUCCUGUAAUCCCAGGACUUUGAAAGACCAAGGUGGAAGGAUGGCUUGAGCCCAGGAGUUCAAUACCAGCCUGGGUAACAUAGUAAGACUCCCAUCUCUACAAAAAAUUAAAAUUAACCAGGCAUGGUGGCAUAUGCCUGUAGUCCUAGCUACUCAGGAGGCUGAGGUGGGAGGAUGGCUUGAACCAGGAGGUCGAGGCAGCAAUGAGCCAUGAUUGUGCCACUGCAUUCCAGCCUGGGUGACAGAGUGACAGCCUGUCUCAAAAAAGAAAAGAAAAGAUACAAAAGAAAUAUUGAAUCAAAAAAUAUAGGUAAAAGUGAAACAAAAGGAAAUUUAAAAAUAAAUAUGUAUCAAUAGAUAAAAAAUGGUAAAAUGAACAAGAUGUGGAAAAUGUUGUAGUCUCUACAUCUGGCCUAAUAUUUAAUCUAAGAAUCUAAUGCAAAUUUCUUACAUCAUGAAUAAAUAUGGAUGAUGGGCCUACAGAUCAGAUACAUUUUAAUAAUGAGCAGACUAAGUGAGGCCUCAUACCUCUCAUCUCCAUGUGUAACCUAAUUAAUCGGGCCAUUUCAGUUGCAGAACACUCACUUCCAUAACUGUCUUCUACUUCAGAAGUGUGUGUUUCAGUUAGAAUUUGAUUUGGGUGCAGAUGCCUAUGAUAGACAAUGCAAACAGUGACUUAAAGAAAUAAAAGUUUAUAUUCCUCUCACAUAAAAAAAAUUUAAAUUUAAAUAGUGCAGGGCAGAUUUAGCACUCCACGGUGCCAAGAAUAUGAGCUUCUUUUAUUUUGUUGCUCUUGGCCUUCACUUUAUGGCUCAAAAUGGCUGCUGAAACUCCAGACAUCAAACCUGCAUUCCAGCCUGCACAGUAGAGGAAGGAAGUAAAGAAGGGUAAAGGCUCAUUUUCUAAGGAAAUUGCUCAUCAGCCUCACACAACACUUCCUCAUACACUGCAUUAGCCCAAUUUAGUCAUAUGACCACACCUAUCUGCAAGGAAAGCUGAGAAAUGUUGUUCUUGUUCUCAGGGGAGAUGUAUGUGCCCAGCUAAAAAUAAGGUGUUCUGCCACCAAAGAAGAAGAGAAAGGGGAUAUUGAAGUUCAAGUGGUAAUCUUAGACAUAUAAAGCCAUCAAAAUUAUUUCCCCCCCAAACCCUUUUGAGAAACUGAGUGCGUAAAGAUAGAUUAUGACUGGGCACGUCAAACUUGUUUUAAAUAUACAAUUGGCCAGGCACAGUGGCUCACACCUGUAAUCCCAGCACUUUGGGAGGCCAAGGCGGGUGGAUCACCUGAGGUCAGGAGUUUGAGACCAGUCCGGCCAACAUGGCGAAACCCUCUCUCUACUAAAAAUACAAAAAUUAGCCGGGCAUGGUGGCAUGCCUGUAAUUCCCAGCUACUCAGGUGGGAGGCUGAGGCAGGAGAAUCUUUUGAAACUGGGAGGCAAAGGUUACAGUGAGUUGAGAUCACACCACUGCACUCCAGCCUGGGUAACAGGGUGAGACUCUGUCUCAAAAAAAAUAAAAUUAAAAAAUGAAAUAAAAAUACAAAUAAAUAUACUAUUUUUUUCAAAGGAUAGAAGGAGCAUUGUCUACGUUAAAUAAUGCAGAAGAUUUUAACUGAUUGCAGCCCAAUUUGUUUCCAUAUCCCCAGAGGCCAUCCCAACCCAGAGGCUUUCCCAUAGAACCGUGGGGAAAGAUCUCAAUUGUCUACACUCUGGCUCUGAGAUAAGGCAGCGCUCUCUCAGCCCUUUAAAGGGGGAGAAGGAUGUUAGUUCUAUUCCUUAGGCAAGAGGGCCUCACCUGUGGCCAUUCAACCCCAGGUUCUGCAAGAGUGAGAAGCAGAAAGCCUACUUUGCGUUGCCUCUACCUGAGGAGAAGAAGCCAGGUGUGCUCUCAGAUGGUCGGGGUAGUGCUUGGGAAGAUGUCGGGAGGACCGCGUAGAAAGCUGAGAGUGAGCUUCCCUUUGCUCACUGGCUUCUCAGCCAAAAACCGCUGGAGUGGAAGAGGGACAUUAUGGGCCUGCAGCAAACUCUCUCUCAACCUUCAGUUUCCCAAUGUAUAAAAUGAGUAUGAUGAAACUUGCCUCAUAGAUUCAUUACAAGGGUUGUUUAAAAAACAUUUACCAAAGUGCCCGCUGUAUACCUCCAUUUAAUGCAUGCAAGUUCCUUUCUCUUCUUCCUUUUGGAAUAACAUAACCUGAUUGUAAGAACAUGUUUCCACAAGACAACAUGAUGAGAAAUGUUUGGCAAGAUCUAGAAUUGCAGUAUGGUAGCCACUGACCACAUGUGGCCAUUAAGCACUCCAAAUGUGUCUAUUGUAACUAGGAACUGAACUUUUAAUUUUAUUUCAUCUUAAUUCAUUUAAACUUAAAUUUAAAACCUGCUGCUUGAUUAGAGUAUUGAAAAAUAUUUAAACGUAUUUGGAACAAUUUGGGUAUGUGAAUUUCCUCUUUCAACUAUAAAUCUUACAAAAUCUAAACACAGAUCGAGUAUUCCGAAUUAAAAUUUAACAUUCAAA